AAAUUGAAGAGUUUGAUCAUGGCUCAGAUUGAACGCUGGCGGCAGGCCUAACACAUGCAAGUCGAACGGUAACAGGAAGAAGCUUGCUUCUUUGCUGACGAGUGGCGGACGGGUGAGUAAUGUCUGGGAAACUGCCUGAUGGAGGGGGAUAACUACUGGAAACGGUAGCUAAUACCGCAUAAUGUCGCAAGACCAAAGAG
This 200-nucleotide ribosomal RNA is filed under the name Escherichia coli. Its description in RNAcentral is "partial 16S ribosomal RNA". It matches the Rfam family "Bacterial small subunit ribosomal RNA", at positions 1 to 208 of the family's 1533-position model. The record is from RNAcentral. Lineage: Bacteria; Pseudomonadati; Pseudomonadota; Gammaproteobacteria; Enterobacterales; Enterobacteriaceae.